Molecule: long non-coding RNA, 6038 nt
Filed under: Canis lupus familiaris (dog)
Lineage: Eukaryota; Metazoa; Chordata; Mammalia; Carnivora; Canidae
Description: lncRNA (ENSCAFG00845000602.1)
Source: RNAcentral
UUUUCUUUCCAUAGUUCCUUUAAAUGUGUUCAUCUCUUUUAAUUUAGAUUUAGGACCUCCAGGAUUGUUUGCUUAUACAUUGCCUUUAUAAAAAUGUCCAUUUCUUUACUGUAAAGAGUUCAAAAUAAAGUUAAGAUAUGGCCUCUAAAAAAAAAAAAAUGAAACCUAGCUCUUUAUUUCUUCCAGUGACUACUUUGGCACUUGUUUCUUGAAGUACCUCUAUCUUUGUGAGUCCACAAGGUCCUUCUGUAAAUGCUUUUUGCAUUGAUAGUUUGCGCCAUAUAGGGCAACACUUGACUCAACACCAUUUUUCUACUCUUGUCUCCUUCUUGUUUUGUUCUACCCUUUCUGAUUUUACUGUGAUUUUUUUUGUAAGCACCAACCUAUAUAGAUAUCCUUCAUAAAUAUCUAAGAAAACUUCUGGAUUUUCUCUUAAAGCUUCACAAAACACUGUCGUUUUUUAAUGUUUGUUGUAUGUUGAUAACUCAGAAAAACCUACAGCAAUCUAACAAUUCCAUUGCUUAAAAAAUCACAAAAAGCACAAAAAUUUUAAAGGCAAUAAAAUAAACUAUUGACUUUAAAAAAAAUUCAAUUGGCACUUUUUUUUUUUAAUUGCAGGAUUUCUUAUCCCAUUUACCCCUGAGGAGAAAAUAAAAAAUCUCUUGACCAAAGCUUAAAACUUCAUCCUAAAAGAGGAAAGGGGGGAAAUUAUUUCAAUUCUUUGUGUGAAACUAAUAGUUUUAUGUCAUGAGAAGGCUGCCAUUUUUUUCCAGUAAGUAAAGAUGCCCCAUACUAUGAAGGGUUGCCAUUUAAAGAACAACCAGGAAGCAAUUCAAUGAAGAGGAAUUGUUAAGGAUUGGUUACUUGCUGCAUUCCAAUCAUGUUCUUUUCAAAACCUAGCUUUAUGGAUUUUAAAGAAAUCCUGAGGGGACACUCUUUUCCUUUUGUCCCACAGAAAUAUCAUCAUUAAACCCCUCUAAAAAUGGUUUCUGAUAUGAUUCUGCUUUCCAGCUGAGGCAACAUUUUCUAUAAGUAAUAACAAAACAGCUGAAGUGAGUAAAAGCAAACUGAGCAGAUAGGAGUAUCAAUCCUGAUGGGACCAAAGGGAGCCCUGUGUUAACUUCUGAAGUACCUGAACUUUUCUGAACCAGUUGGUUUUGACUGAAAUUGAAAAUGCUCUUUUACUUUCGAAUCCCUGCCAGAGGGGGCUGCUAGGGUAGACUUCUCCAGCUAUUUUUCUUCUUUUUCAGAGGAAUUCAAGACGGGAGAUGUCAAUGUGUGUGCUUAAGCGUAAAAGUGAUCAUUUUUUAACCACUGGUGGGAAAGUAGUUUGCCAGUGGGGAGCUAAGUGUUGAAAUCUGGCAUUAAUCCAGCAGAGCUGGACCAAUAGAUCACAGAUAACUAUACAGUAUAUGACGGUGAGUCCUCUUGCUUAAAAUGAAAAAAAAAAAAAUGGGGAGUAUUGAGAAGUGAGACAGGAGAUUUUUCAAAAGGUGCACUACAUUGCUCUAUUGACUUAAGUCAGCCACAAGGAAAUUUAAAAACAAUUUAGAGAAUCGAGUGCAACUACCCCUAUGAAGAUUACUCUUCAUAAAACAUAAGAGUAUGGGGAAUACUCCACUAUGAAAUAUCGUCUUGCAUGUAUGAUUACCUUAAGGCUUCAGCAGAUACUAAAUUGCAUUCUAAAAGUUUGGUGAAUUUAAGCUGAACAGGUCAUAUAUGUCACCUAGAAACAACAACGAGACCCCCAGAAGUGGAAGUGGAAGUAAACAGCCAAGUGUCUGUCUCUUGAGGAAAAGUUCAUAAAAACAGAAAUCCAAUCUUUCCAUCAAGAUUAUUGUAUAAGUGUGGAUAAAAGCUCAACUGUCAUGCUUUUCAUGUCGGGUCACGAAUGCCAGCUGCUUGUUAUUUUAAAAUAAUCAUAAAAAAUAUUAGUUGAGGAAUUAUUUUCAAAUAAGAAAUCAGAAAGGGAUUCCAAAAUGAGUUUUUCCUCUUUUUCCAAAACAAAACUGGAAUAUCAGGACUAGAGGCAGAAUUUAAAACCCUAAUCAUUUGAAUUUGAAAUAAACACCCCCCCAAAUAUAUUUAAAGUUACUAUUUAAUUAAAAUAGGUAAGAAACCAAAAAGUAAGACCAAAGUUAUUGUUAUACAUAAAGAUAUGUUUUCCAUAAGUCUCUUCAAAUCAAAGGAGUCAAAAGUAUAAUUUCUAAAGUCAUAUAAGAAAGGAACCAUAUGUUUUCUCCUUCUCCUUUUUUCUUAUAAUGAAGUCGGAGCAUAUUUAUAAACAGUGCUUCUCCUUUCCCAUAUUUGUUUUUAUCCAUGCCUUUCUUGCCAAGAAUUAAUUUAUUCACUCAGUAUUUGUUUGGUGACCAUUGUGCAUAAUAUUAAGAUUCUCCUGAUAUUAAAAAGCAGUAUCUAGAUUAUUGGUCAUAGUUUGGUUUUCAGAAAUCUUACCGUGAAGCUACAGGACAUAAAGGUAGUAUUUGGAGCAGUUGUAAAUGUUUUCUAGUCUCUUCCUUGAGUUGAGAAUUUCAAGUACUAAACUUAUAAUUAUUUUCCUCCAAUCUCCCAGGGCAUUUAGAAACAACCAACGACCUCUGGUACAUUCCUUAAUUAUCCCAAGAUUUCUAUGGCAGCUACUCCGUAUGAUCUCUUUAGAAGCGUAAUGAGAUUUCUUUCAUGGUGGCUUAUGAAAGUGGGUGUUCCAGGAGCAGACAUGGAUGCUGCCCAUCCUCUUAGAGACAUGGCUAUUACUUCCAUAUUCCAGCUAAUGGAAAUCAUACAACACCUCAGAUUCAGAGAGGAGGGCUACCUACAGGAGGGCACACUGGGAGAUACAGUUCAUUGGGGAUCACUUUUGGAAACUAGGUAUCUCAGGUAGUUUGGAAUUUCUGUUUGUAGUGAUAUGGUUAAAAAAAUUAUUAUUCUCUGGGUCUGUAAUACAUAAGGCCAUAUUUUAAUGAUUAAUAUUUGAGUUGCAUCUGAAUUGUAGGCUCAUUUACUGUGCCAAUCUUGAUAGUUUUGCCCAUUAUGAAUAUCACAUCAUUUAUUUUGGAAAGUGGAAUUGAGCUAAAAUGAGAAGGAUAACUGAAUAUGGUGUUUUUGGUCUGAGAAGCCCAGACAAUGAUGCCCAUAGUAAUUGUUUUUAUACUGUCAGAAAUAAAAUACUUGCUACAAAGAAUAUAAAGCUUACAAAUGUGAUAAAUUUGCUAGCUAUCCUAGGGUAUAAAAUGUAUUUUCAAUAAUGAUGAAUGUGCUAAGUCAAAACAUAUGAAUAUAAGAAAUGCUAUGGAAAGAUAUAUUUUCUUAAUGGAAUUGCCUGUUUUGCCUAAACUUUGAUACUCAAAAGCAUGAAAAAUUGAAAAUUAUGUAUUCAUUUUUUGUUAAGUUCUUAAAUAUCCUAUGUUACUAUAUUGGUGUAUUUAAUCUUAAUUCCAAAGAUCUCAAAAUUUGAGAUUCCUAACUAAAGAGAUUUAGUUUUAGAAUUACUGUGGCCUUCCAUUUCCAUGUUAUUGGACCUUACCUAUAUUUUUUGCCUGGCCAGAAUUUACUUUUCUGAAACAAAAAGUAUGCAUCUAUGUCCAAAAUUCCUUCUAAGUUUCCCGGCACUUUCAUAUCAUUGGGUUGGUCUUUCAUGGAGUACAAAAUUAAAUCCAGACAUUUUAAUUACCUUAUUUCACCCUUAAAAAUGCACUAAAUAAAGAAGGUAAAGUAAAUUUCUAUCAAAAUUUCUGCCUUUAGCAACAUGACAGUUCUAUGUGGUGUUCAAAUACUCUAGAGCAUUUCUACUCCCUUCCUCUCUUCUUACUUCCUUCCUUUCUUUUUGUAAGCUUACUCAGGUGUUAACAGCCCUAGGUUCUUCAAAGGUACUACUUCUGUUAUUCCAUUCCACCUUCUUUGUUUUCCAACCAUCCUUAACGUCCAAUGUCAAAGUAAAAUAUAUCAGGAAUACUACAGAUGCCACAACUGUAUUUGAAGAAAAAAUUCUACACUAUUCAGAAGACAUCAAAGUAUCAGCCAUUUAACUAAUUGGAAAUUUUACACUUGUAAACAUGGACUAAGUUUUCCCUUCAAUCAUUUUUCUUUUAAAAAUUUUUACAUAAUGAAAGGAGAAACUGCCAAGCAAAUCCACUGAUUCACUUUUUUUUAAAGUUCCAGUUAGUUAACAGUGUAAUAGUUCCAAGUGAAAAAUAGUGAUUCAACUAUUCAAUAUGAUACACAGCGCUUAUCCCAAAAAGUGCACCCUUUAAUCCCCAUCUGUCCAACCCAACUUCCCACCCCCCUCUCCUCUAGUGAUCAUCAGUUUGUUCUCUAUAGAUAAGAGUCUAUUGCUCGUUUGCCCCUCUCUUUUUUCCCCUUUGCUCAUUUAUUUCUUAAAUUACAUAUAUGAGUAAAAUCAUAUGGUAUGUGUCUUUCUCUGAUGGACUUAUUUCAUUUAGCAUAAUAUGCUCUAGGCUCCUUCCAUGUCACUGCAAAUGGCAACAUUCGAUUAUUUGUUUACUUUUCCAUUGUAUAUACAUACCAUCCUCUUUAUCCAGUCAUUGGUCAUUGGACACUUGGGCUGUUUCCAUAAUUUGGCUUUGGUAGGUAAUACUGCUAUAAACUUGGGGGACAGGGGAAUGUAUCCCUUUCAAUUAGUAUAUUUGUAUUCUUUGGAUAAACACCUAGUAGUGCAAUUGUGGAAUUGUAGGGUAGUUUUAUUCUUAAAUUUUGAGGAACCUAAAGUGGCUGCACCAGUUUGCAUUCCCACCAACAGUGCAGGAGGGUGCCUCUUUGUCCACAUCCUUGCCAACAUCUGCUGUUUCUUGUGUUGUUGAUUUUAGCUAUUCCGACAGAUGUGAGGCGAUAGCUCAUUGUAGUUUUGAUUCUCAUUUACCAAAUAAUUAGUGAUAAGCAUCUUUUCAUGUGUUUGUUGGCCAUAUGGAUCUUUGGAAAAAUUUAUUUUCGUGUCCUCUGUGCAUUUUUAUUUGGAUUAUUUGUUUUUUGGGCGUUGAGUUUUAUAAGUCCUUAUGCAGUUCGGAUUCUAACCCUUUAUCAGAUAUGUCAUUUUCAAAUACCUUCUCCCAUCCUGUAGAUUCCCUUUUAGUUUUGUUGAUUAUUUCCUUCACUCUGCAAAAGCUUUUUAUUUUGAUGAAAUCCCAAUAAUUUAUCUUUCUUUUUAUUUCCCUUGCCUCAGGAGACAUAUCUAGAAAGAACUUGCUACAGCCAAUGUCAAAGAAGUUACUGCCUGUGUUCUCUUCUAGGAUAUUUAUGGUUUCAGUCUCACAUUUAGGUCUUUAACCCAUUUUGAAUUUUUUUUUAGUGGAUGGUCAAGAAAGUGAUCCAGUUUCCUUCUUUUUUCAUGUUGCUGUUCAGUUUUCCCAAUACCAUUUGUUGAAGAGACUUUUUCCCCCCAUUGGAUACUCUUUCCUGCCUUGACAAAGAUUAAUUGACAAUAUAGUUGGGGGUUCAUUUCUGGGUUUUCCAUUCUGUUCUACUGAUCUAUGUGUUUAUUUUUGUGCCAGGAUUAUUUUGAUUACUAUGGCUUUGUGAUGUAACUUGAAGUCUGGAAUUGUGUUAUCUCCAGCUUUGCUUUAUUUUUCAAGGUUGCUCUGGCUAUCUGAGGUCUUUUGUGAUUGCAUACAUAUUUGAGGGCUGUUUGUUCUAUCUCUGUGGAAAAUGCUGGUGGUAUUUUGAUAGGGAUUGCAUUAAAUCUGUGUAUUUUCUUGUGUAGUAUACACAUUUUAACAAUAUUUGUUCUUCCAAUCCAUGAGCAUGUCUUUACAUUUGUUUGUGUCACCUUUAAUUUCUUAUAUCAGUGUCUUACAGUUUUCAGAAUACAUGUAUUUAACCACUUUGACUAGGAUUAUUCCUCGAUAUCUUACUGGUUUGGGCACAAAUGUAAAAGAGACUGAUUAAUUCCUUAAUUUCUCUUUCUGCUGCUUCAUUAUUGAUAUAUAGUAAUACAAGAGAUUUCUAUACCUUGAUUUCACAGCCUGUGAAUUUACUGAAUUUAUCAGAUCUAGCAGUUUUUUGGUGGAGUUUUUCAGGUUUUCUGC